CCCCCUCCUCCAAUUUUCAUUUCCCCCUUCUUCCAAAAUUUCUUUCCGCCCUUAUGUCUCCGAGCUUUUGUCUAACUAAUACUCCUCCUUUUCAUCUUUUACUCUCUCCCUCUCCCUGCUAUACCCUCUAUGCUCUCUCAAGUCAAUUUUCUCAAAAUCAGGUCGAUUAAUUGUGUAUUGCGAUGGGUUGGGGUUUUUAAGUUUACAAACCCUAACCAUCUCUCUGGAUCUCAUCUCUUUGUGACAUACUCAGUGAAUUUUGUUGUUUAGAUUCACUUUCCUUGGUAGGUGGAACUUCUCAAGCCCGAAAAUGAAGAAUAAGGUGUUGUCAAAGCUUGUUAGUGGAAGUGGAGUCGAUGCUGUGCUGCUUGAAAUGAUGGAAAGGCACUAGUAAAUGGCUUGUGGGUUGCUCACACUUUUGAAGUGGGCAUGCCUCUUGGUACUGAGUUUAUUUUCCCUCUAAUUGAGAAAUACAAGAUUGGGCAUCUGAAUAGGAUUGGUGCUCAUCUUGCCAACAAUAGUCAGCCACUAGAGAUGCAAAAGCUUCAAUGUUGAGUAAAACUUCAGUUCUUUGAGAUUUACUUCUCAAAUAGAAGUGGGCAAGAGGGUAAUCAAGCUCUUAAGGGUUAUAUAAGAGCAAGCUUUCACAUACACGUUGCUAGUUUAUAUUGAGCAUUAUAAUAUUUACGGUGUAAACUGUUUCAGCCUUUUGUAUUUUGAAUGGUUUUGUAAACACUAAAUUGAAUUUUUUUUCGUGUUAGAGAUAUAUUUUUUGUAUUUAUUAGUGCAAGAUUUUGUGAC
Molecule: long non-coding RNA, 801 nt
Organism: Daucus carota subsp. sativus
Lineage: Eukaryota; Viridiplantae; Streptophyta; Magnoliopsida; Apiales; Apiaceae
Exons: 4
Source: RefSeq, a predicted model, not a curated record